Molecule: ribosomal RNA, 606 nt
Filed under: Salmonella enterica subsp. enterica serovar Virchow
Lineage: Bacteria; Pseudomonadati; Pseudomonadota; Gammaproteobacteria; Enterobacterales; Enterobacteriaceae
Description: partial 23S ribosomal RNA
Rfam family: Bacterial large subunit ribosomal RNA
Source: RNAcentral
AGACCCGAAACCCGGUGAUCUAGCCAUGGGCAGGUUGAAGGUUGGGUAACACUAACUGGAGGACCGAACCGACUAAUGUUGAAAAAUUAGCGGAUGACCUGUGGCUGGGGGUGAAAGGCCAAUCAAACCGGGAGAUAGCUGGUUCUCCCCGAAAGCUAUUUAGGUAGCGCCUCGUGAAUUCAUCUCCGGGGGUAGAGCACUGUUUCGGCUAGGGGGCCAUCCCGGCUUACCAACCCGAUGCAAACUGCGAAUACCGGAGAAUGUUAUCACGGGAGACACACGGCGGGUGCUAACGUCCGUCGUGAAGAGGGAAACAACCCAGACCGCCAGCUAAGGUCCCAAAGUCAUGGUUAAGUGGGAAACGAUGUGGGAAGGCCCAGACAGCCAGGAUGUUGGCUUAGAAGCAGCCAUCAUUUAAAGAAAGCGUAAUAGCUCACUGGUCGAGUCGGCCUGCGCGGAAGAUGUAACGGGGCUAAACCAUGCACCGAAGCUGCGGCAGCGACACUCAGGUGUUGUUGGGUAGGGGAGCGUUCUGUAAGCCUGUGAAGGUGGCCUGUGAGGGUUGCUGGAGGUAUCAGAAGUGCGAAUGCUGACAUAAGUAACGAU